UUGAACGCUGGCGGCAGGCCUAACACAUGCAAGUCGAGCGGGAUGAAGGGAGCUUGCUCCUGGAUUCAGCGGCGGACGGGUGAGUAAUGCCUAGGAAUCUGCCUGGUAGUGGGGGAUAACGUCCGGAAACGGGCGCUAAUACCGCAUACGUCCUGAGGGAGAAAGUGGGGGAUCUUCGGACCUCACGCUAUCAGAUGAGCCUAGGUCGGAUUAGCUAGUUGGUGGGUAAAGGCCUACCAAGGCGACGAUCCGUAACUG
Molecule: ribosomal RNA, 258 nt
Filed under: uncultured bacterium
Lineage: Bacteria
Description: partial 16S ribosomal RNA
Rfam family: Bacterial small subunit ribosomal RNA
Source: RNAcentral